Cyprinus carpio carpio is the source of this 3025-nucleotide long non-coding RNA. Lineage: Eukaryota; Metazoa; Chordata; Actinopteri; Cypriniformes; Cyprinidae. The record is from Ensembl.
AUGGCGAGUCAGGAUCAGCAACGUAAUCCUUGCGACACAGAUUCAGAAAACACUAGUUUAAAUAAUUCAAGUCUCGGCUCUAAGGGUGUAAAUAACUCGGGGUCCGUCGGGCUCAGGCUGAAAUGCAGGGCUCUAGUGUCUGUUGUUGAACCACAGGGAGACGUUCCUUGAACGGCUGGUAGCACUGGUAAUUGGUCGCACUCUAGAGCCCUGUUAUAUUGUCACAUAUUUUUUAUAAUCCUAUACUGCCCAAAAUGCCUGGGAUUUUCCCAAAAUAACCACUAUAUGAAGUCAAGAUAUAUUUUUGUUGUUGAUAUGGACUAAGUUGAUGAGAAUGAUGUAGUAAUGUUCACUGUGAAGCACAGUUAUAUAUGACAUGAGAAUAAGGCCUUUAGUUAGGAAGAACAUUUUAAGGAAAAUAUAAUUAUAUUUUCAUAAUGAUUUUUUUCUUCUCAAACCUUGUCUGUGGUGUAAAAAACAACAACAACAAAAAACACCCCUGGCCAAAUGCCCCCAGAGGGCAUCACUUCCCACUUUGAUAAUUACUGUAGUUACCAUGUUCUGAACAUCACAUCCUUUCUUUUUCCCCCAGAUGUAAUCUAUCUAGGAGGUGGUUGAAUAAAAAUAUUUAGACUUUAUAUCUAAAAAUUACCCCAACUUAUCACCAGCAAGCUUGUUAGUUAGACAGUUAGCAUAAGCUAACAGUAUUUAAAAGGUUCAUUGAAAAGAAUCAGUUCGUUCUUGAAUCAGACACCGCUUCUGCGUGUCGGAGCACGUGAUAUAGCCUAUUAUAAGGAGUAACGAUAUGUUUUAUGAAAUGUAGUGAAGUAAACAGUACGAUCUUAUGUAAAGUAAAGCUACUCUGUUACUGACCACCACUGCUGAUGCUAUUACACUCUUUAUGUUUCUGAAAUAAAAAGGAUCUGAAUUCUUCUAAAACCCACUUGCUAAACUUAUGCCUACCACUAUCAUCGUCCACUAUCCCUGCAAAAAUUGCCAAAGCACGAAAAAAGACCUCGCCACACGUCAUGAAUCCAAUUCCACUCACGUUUCUCCUCUUUUGUAGUUUUUAUUGGGGUUAAGGCAGUUUUGUUAUUAAACUUUUCUGCACUGCAUUUGUUAGAAAUAAAAGCAAUAUGCAGUCCUCCAAUGGGCCCUAUUUAGCCUAACUCAUAGACUCUGCUCAGCAUCACAUUCAACAAAACAGAAAAAAAAACAAUACAUGUCAAAACAGAACGUAAAACAAAGGAAUUCAUAGCAAAAUGGAACCCAUAAACUACCACCAAACGACCACUGCAAAUCUACUUGUUCUUCUUGUCAGAAGUAGCGCAUUAGCCUACACGAAAGAGAAGGUUUCAGUUUACUGUCGGGGAUUCGUCUGUCGUCGUUCCGCGCCGCUUCCACGCUAUCAAUGAUACUGUCGCGUCGCUCACGCCCGGUGUAGACACAAUGUAACAUAAAGAAGCAUACAGUUUUUUUUCUUCAUCGGCGCGCGACAUACUGGUGCGUAAUAGUAUUAAUGCGUAGCAUGUAAUAGCAACUCUCUAAAUCCCAAAUUAAGACGAAUCAAACGGUACACUACCACGGUCAUCAAAAUACUGUCCCUCGCCGUCCAGUCAAAGUGGUAUCCAAUUUGGGUGGGUGUGUAAAAGUUCUGUGCUCUUUUAGUUCCUUGUUCAGUGCCUUUCUGUAAUUGUUUAAGUUUCAGAUAACGCAACACUUUUUAACUGUUUGGGCUACUCUGAGCGCGCUCCAUCUGCAGCUACGUCUUCCGUCUCACUAACUGAUACUGUUAUACAGCGUUCAUGGCUCAAGAGCAAGCUCGGUCUCCGCCUCCAAAGGAAAAAAAAAAGAUAAAAUAAAUAAUAAACAGGGCCGGUGCUAGCCAUUUGGGUGCCCUAAGCACAAAUGCUUGGCGGUGCCCCCCCCCCCCCCUCCCCAACCAACCACCCACCCACCCACCAACCAAAGAAAUAACUACCAUUCAGAAUUUCUUAGUUAGGUUCUCUUUACUUCCAAAAUAACUGCUGCAAAUGAAUAAUUGGAACUGAACAAUGUAAACACAGAAAGUUAAAAGUUCAAAAAAAGUUUAGUGCAAAUAACAGUAUAAGUGUAUGAAUUUUAUGAAGUAUGAAUUUUAAAGUGCACAUUUUAAACUGCAAAUAAUCAUGCAUAACUGCACAGUAGAAAUUACUCAACAGAGGGAAUACAUCUCUAUAAAGAGACCAUUCUGCUAUUCUAUAGAACUAUAUUAAACAUUUUCACUACCAUCAGUUGUCAGAGGCCCUACAGAGGCACACGCCUACAUUUCCUAGCUGCAAAAUCAGCUAUCAGGUCAUCAUAUGACAGUUUCUGAGCCACGUCCCCAUUGAUGCUGAUGACAGCCAGACCACUUAAACGUUCCUGCCCCACUGACGAACGCAGGUACGUUUUGAUGAGUUUGAGCUUUGAAAUAUAUAUAAUUUAUAUAUACAAAAUAAUUAUACACAGUACACACACAUAUAUCAUGUAGACACAAACUUUUUAUUUUGGAUGCGAUUAAUCGAGAUUAAUCUUUUUCCCAGCCCUAAUAAUUUGACAACUCUGUGAAUAUGAAAAAUAUACAAACACUGAGAUUGUGGGGGUUUUUCUAAUUGCAUUUUCACCAACAGAUGUCAGCCCUUGGCCGAACCUCUUGAAAAUGACCGCAUGCCAUAGUACAACAACGAAAAAAAUCUUUAUCUAAGCGGUCUAAUUUGGCAAAAAUCACAUCACGUUCAGUUGCAGGGUUUUUUUCUAAAGUUCAGACUGAGGCAGAUAGACAUUGUAUUGAAGCGAAGAAAUUACAAUAGGGAACGUUCUGCACUAAUAGCUAUAUGCACACGUGACACAUCUGUAACGUACGGGGAAAAAUUAGCUUUAUUUUUCAUUCAAAUAUGACGAUGAGGACCCCAACGAUUGGCCUUCCUUUCCUGCUCAAACAAACUGCAUCUUUAACAGCCCAAGUUUCACAAUUUCCCCGGACCCCGUUAAAAAUAAAAAGACA